This is a long non-coding RNA of Mirounga angustirostris (Northern elephant seal), 1097 nucleotides long. RefSeq lists it as uncharacterized. Lineage: Eukaryota; Metazoa; Chordata; Mammalia; Carnivora; Phocidae. The record is from RefSeq and is a predicted model, not a curated record. The transcript is spliced from 3 exons.
GUCUUGCCUCAAUGUUGACAACAGCUGACUAAUCAGGGUGGUAUUUCUGAAGGUUGGGAUGGCUGGAUGUGGCAAUUUCUUAAAAUAAGACAAUAAUUUGCUGCAUCAACCAACUCCUCCUUUCAUAAAAGCAGAAAUUCUCUGUUGUAUGUGAUGCUAUUGGACAGCUUUUUACCAAUAGUAGAACUUUUUUCAAAAUUAGAGUCAAUCUAUUCAAAUCCAAUUGCUGCUGUAUCAACUACGUUUAUGUAAUAUUCUAAAUCCUUGCAUCUCCACUAGGUGUAGAUCCUAUUUCAAGAAACCACUUUCUUUGUUCAUCCAUAUGAGGCACCUCCUCAUCUGUUAAUUUUAUCAGGAGAUUGCAGCAACUCAGUCCCAUCUUCAAGGUCCACUUCUAAUUCUAGUUCUCUUGUUAUUUUCACAUUGCAGUUACUUCCUCCACUGAAGUCGUGAACCCCUCAAAGUCAUCCAUCAGGGUUGGAAUCAACUUCUCCCAAACUCUUGUUUAUGCUGAUAUUUUGACUUCUCCCCAUGAAUCCCAAAUGUUCUUAAUGGCAUCUAGAAUGGUGAAUCCUUCCCAGAAGGUCUUCAGUUUACUUUUCUCAGACCCAUCAGAGUUCUCAGUUGUUUUGAAACUAGUACCAAUUAUGAAGUCAUGAACAAUCAAGGACAGAGAAUUUAUUUUGCAGAAGAGAGAAGUAAUUGUUUCCUCCAAUACCUCUGUGGACCUUCAAGAUCUUUUACCAUGACAAUUUAGGAUAAUGUAGGCUGUGAUGUCAUUACUAUGCAUAAAGCUUUAAGAAACUGCUACCUACAAAAGCUAAAAGUUGAGGCUCCUCCUGGUGAAAAAAUUGGAUAUGUGUACGAAUACUUUCACCCAUUUUUGGCAAUGUUUAAAAUAAAAAAUGAGAAUAAGGAGGAUAUGAAAAUCAGAGGGCCAUGUGUGGUUUCCAGUUGUCUCAAGGAUCUAAAUCUUACUGUGAGUAUCAUUAAGGCUUACAUGUUUAUACUGCUUAUAAGACAUUUUUUUAAGCUAUAUUUCAAGUAUGUAGCUAUCAAAUAACAAGUUUGUUACUUCAUAGUUCAAGGAAUGUUGG